UGAGGAAUAUUGGUCAAUGGGCGAGAGCCUGAACCAGCCAAGUAGCGUGCAGGAUGACGGCCCUAUGGGUUGUAAACUGCUUUUGUAUGGGGAUAAAGUCAGUCACGUGUGAUUGUUUGCAGGUACCAUACGAAUAAGGACCGGCUAAUUCCGUGCCAGCAGCCGCGGUAAUACGGAAGGUCCGGGCGUUAUCCGGAUUUAUUGGGUUUAAAGGGAGCGUAGGCUGGAGAUUAAGUGUGUUGUGAAAUGUAGACGCUCAACGUCUGACUUGCAGCGCAUACUGGUUUCCUUGAGUACGCACAACGUUGGCGGAAUUCGUCGUGUAGCGGUGAAAUGCUUAGAUAUGACGAAGAACUCCGAUUGCGAAGGCAGCUGACGGGAGCGCAACUGACGCUGAAGCUCGAAGGUGCGGGUAUCGAACAGGAUUAGAUACCCUGGUAGUCCGCACAGUAAACGAUGGAUGCCCGCUGUUGGUACCUGGUAUCAGCGGCUAAGCGAAAGCAUUAAGCAUCCCACCUGGGGAGUACGCCGGCGGUG
RNAcentral lists this ribosomal RNA (537 nucleotides) under uncultured bacterium. Its description in RNAcentral is "bacterial SSU rRNA". It matches the Rfam family "Bacterial small subunit ribosomal RNA", at positions 355 to 896 of the family's 1533-position model. The record is from RNAcentral.